This 548-nucleotide ribosomal RNA is filed under the name uncultured bacterium. RNAcentral's name for it is "bacterial SSU rRNA". It matches the Rfam family "Bacterial small subunit ribosomal RNA", at positions 224 to 789 of the family's 1533-position model. The record is from RNAcentral.
GAUGGACCCGCGUCUGAUUAGCUGGUUGGUAGGGUAAAGGCCUACCAAGGCGACGAUCAGUAGCCGACCUGAGAGGGUGACCGGCCACAUUGGGACUGAGACACGGCCCAAACUCCUACGGGAGGCAGCAGUGGGGAAUAUUGCACAAUGGGCGAAAGCCUGAUGCAGCGACGCCGCGUGAGUGAAGAAGUAUUUCGGUAUGUAAAGCUCUAUCAGCAGGGAAGAAAAUGACGGUACCUGACUAAGAAGCCCCGGCUAACUACGUGCCAGCAGCCGCGGUAAUACGUAGGGGGCAAGCGUUAUCCGGAUUUACUGGGUGUAAAGGGAGCGUAGACGGCAAUGCAAGUCUGGAGUGAAAACCCAGGGCUCAACCCUGGGACUGCUUUGGAAACUGCGUAGCUGGAGUGUUGGAGAGGUAAGUGGAAUUCCUAGUGUAGCGGUGAAAUGCGUAAAUAUUAGGAGGAACACCAGUGGCGAAGGCGACUUACUGGACAAUAACUGACGUUGAGGCUCGAAAGCGUGGGGAGCAAACAGGAUUAGAUACCCUG